Molecule: ribosomal RNA, 331 nt
Filed under: uncultured eukaryote
Lineage: Eukaryota
Description: partial 18S ribosomal RNA
Rfam family: Eukaryotic small subunit ribosomal RNA
Source: RNAcentral
CCCUUAGAUGUUCUGGGCCGCACGCGCGCUACACUGACGGAGGCAGCGAGCAUGUCCUUCGCCGAGAGGUGUGGGGAAUCUUGUGAGUCUCCGUCGUGCUGGGGAUAGAUGGUUGCAAUUGUCGAUCUUGAACGAGGAAUUCCUAGUAAGCGCGAGUCAUCAGCUCGCGCUGAUUACGUCCCUGCCCUUUGUACACACCGCCCGUCGCUACUACCGAUUGGAUGGCUUAGCGAGAAUUUUGGAUCGGAGCCCGGGUGGUCGGCAACGGUCGCCCGGGAGAUCUGAGAAAUCAUUCCAGCUUGGUCAUCUAGAGGAAGUAAAAGGCGUAACA